Molecule: long non-coding RNA, 2485 nt
Organism: Equus caballus (horse)
Lineage: Eukaryota; Metazoa; Chordata; Mammalia; Perissodactyla; Equidae
Source: Ensembl
CUCCUGUGAGCCACAUAUGCCGUGGCAGGGAGCCAGGCUCAAGAUGUCUUGAUGGUACCAUGUUGGCCACUUGUGGAGUAUCCUGAGGAACAGGAUCAAAAGGAAGGUCCUAUGAGGGCGUCAGAGAGUAGGCAGCCCACAUCCAGAAGAUUCGUCACGCAGAGACCCCCAUGAAAGCCGGAACGAAGUUCCACUCACUGAUGGCAUUGAUGGCUGCUUUACAACAGCAUAUGGAGUAUGACAUCUGACCUGACACCUAGCGCCCCAAAAAGGACAGGACAGGGGGCAGGGCACCUGCUGCUUCAGGGCAAAGCAGCAGGUGAGGGGGAAGAGGAAGGAAGAGUGCCAGCCAGACCCCGCUCCCCAUCCUUCCCUCCUGUGGGGUUUCUAGCUUGGGUCAGGCUGAGACAAGGAGAGGGAAGCAGACUGGAGCUGGCCGUGAGGCUGAAUUUUAUAGAAACAGCGCUGGACGUUUUCACACCUGAAAAUUACUCUUAAUUACAAAAGUUAACAGGAGAGCAAAGCCAUCUGUCUGAGAUGCUGAUAAGAGAAGGAAGGUGCAAUGGAGUUUGAAGGCCAUAGUAGAUGAAGACUCCUUUGUAAAUUGAUGACACCUUGGUCCCACUCCUCCAUCUUUGUGUCUGGAAUGUCCCACCCAAUACAGGAUCCUUUCUUUCCGCUGGAUAUGCGUUUUCCAGUCAAGCACCAUCCCUUUGGGAGCCGUCCCUCCCAGCAUCACAGGAGCUUGUUCCUGUGUUCCCGAUGGGGUUCACCUGGCCUCCCAGGGGUGGGCUCAUCUCCUGAGCUUGACCAAUCGGAGGACUCCACCCCCCUGACCUACCAAGAAAGAGUUGCCCCCAACUGUGUUUUGUUAGAUUCUGUAUUUGCCUAUUUGGCAUCCAUCCAUCACAGGGCCAACUAUAUUAACUAUAUUUGCUUAUUUUCUGUAUUCUUGAUGCUCUACCCUUUGUGGCCUCGCUGACUGGGGAGAGACAGGGCCAGCUAAUUCCUAGUGAUGGUAAAUAACUUGCUUGCAGACACGCCUUGCACAUGCAUCCAAGCAGUCCAAGCCCAUACUCAACCGCCCCCUUCACCUAACUCCCUCCCACCACACCUGGAAUCACCCAGGGCGGACGCCAGAAAUCCAGGCACAGCCCGACACCCCAGAGCCACCGGGAUUAUUCCCACUAGCCAGUGCCCAGCUGUCACCCUGCCCCACCUCGCCUGUGCCCUGGAAACCCACGAAGGCUCUGGCUAGACUUCCCCUCCCUUUGCUGCUUCUGCCUCCUGAUGGAAAUUGGUGCUUCCCUGCGCGGCAGGACACGCCCCUCCUCUCAGGAGCUGUCCUAGGAGACAUUCCAGAGAGGCCAAGGCUGGGAGGCAAAACCCAUUUUGAUCCAUGACAAUAGCAGACAACUGGAAACCUUACUUUAGGGUGGAAGGGUCUUCCAGAUGCCCCUCAAAUCAACAAGGAGUGUUCCAGCAUCGUGGGAGGUCCAUCAGCCCAUAGGGCAAGUCCUUCCAUCCUCGGUGAUAGGGAUGCAACAGCAAUUCCAGCUGACACUUAUUGAACGCUGGCUGCACACAGCUCCACGCACUGUCGUGUACUAACUCGCUUCAUCUCCAUGAGUGACUGCUGCUGUUGUCCCCAUGUUAUUGACGAGAAAGCUUAGGCAGAAGGGAUUACAUCUUUGGGACAACCGAGAAGAGCGGGGCAGAGCCUCGGCCCGGCCAGCCCGCCCUGGAGCCCACGUCUCCGGCCGUUGGACAGCUCCAGCCGUCACAACGUUCUUCACCGUCUUGAAGUAAAAUCUCCUGGAACUUGUGCCCCUCAGUCCUGGUUCUGCAUUUGGGGGUCUCCCUGCUGAAGCCAGCUCCUCUCCAGCAAGAUGGCCCUGCAGGUGGGCGCCUUCAGCUCCAAGUGUCCCCACCCCAGCUCCUCAGCUCCAGACUGAAAAUGCCAUUAACUGUGGCUCGUGGGCCAUGACGUCAGGAGCCCCCUCCACCCUGGACGCCCUUGUCUGAGCUCCCCUGCAUGUGAAGCCCCCUCGACAGGGGCAGCUGAGAGCAGGAGCCCCGAAGAAGCUCUGACAGCAGCAGGGGGAGCACCAUCUCCAACCUUCCUGGAUCUGUGGUCUAGUCAGGAAUUCUUGGCUACACGGUUCUCAACGUCAUGUGCUCCAGAAUCUUCUAGGUCGAAGCUGCAGACCCGCAGACCCCCCAUCUGACACCCAGCAUUAGGAAGAUAUGGUGAACCCAGAACCUGCAUUUGGAAAAAAAGCCACAAGGCGUUUCUAAGUGGAAAAGGACCUCUGCUCUUGUGUAAAUGAAGGGAGGCUGUGCUGCACUCUGCUGGGGCUGCCGCAGGAGCUGGUCACCCUUCCAGCGACCCCACCACUGAAAGCCAUGCGGCCUGCGGAGUCUGCGCGCCGGCAGAGCGCCAGUCCGCACCUGUAGCCUCGCAUUCGCAGAGCAUCCACCGCGC